Scylla paramamosain (green mud crab) is the source of this 2409-nucleotide long non-coding RNA. RefSeq lists it as uncharacterized. NCBI's taxonomy places the organism in Eukaryota, Metazoa, Arthropoda, Malacostraca, Decapoda, Portunidae. The transcript has 2 exons. The record is from RefSeq and is a predicted model, not a curated record.
GAUAACCAGUAGUAGAUCGCCAGUUUUCCCUCAGUCAUAAAUCUACCAUACUGCGCCCGCAUCCCGCCACCACAUUCACUUCUCCCACUAGCAAAAUACAAUACAACAAUGCAUGCAUUCAGUUUUAUCCAUGCUAUUCACGUCAACCUCCAUCACUUCGGUUACAAUCAAGAUUUCUCAGUUUGUCAUAAGAAAACUCAGAUUAGAGUAAGAAUAACGUGUCUUAACUCUUACUACACUUUUUUUUUUUUCGGUCUCAGUUGAAAUUCAUUUAGGACCAUCAUUUCUUUUUCGCAUCUCAAGGAUACCACAGCAGGUGGCGCUGAGGUCUCCAGAAUAGAGCCUCCCUGGUGCAAGGAAAGGAACGAAAGUUCAACUCCAGAGUGGCGGAUGUCAAGCAGCUGAGAGCGAGACGCAUGCAAGGCCACCGGCUGUAGGUGAUGCCGCUAGCGAGUGGUAGGGUAGUCCUGGCGAUAAAAAUUAACGGAAGCGGCAGAGGAGACGAUGAUUAGAAAGUACAUAUGCAGCAAUCAUUCUGCUUGGUUUGGUGGAGGAAGAACAUCCAGAAAGGAAAUCUCCCCCAUAGCUGCUUAUGUUACGUGUUAGUGUAAUUUAAUUAUGCAACAAUAAACUUUCAAGAAAUAAGGUAUCUUAAGAAAAAAAACACCAUCAGUUCAACGAAAUUUUAAUAUAUAGUGGAUAGAGUGGUCUCUGUAUAUGCCCUAAAGAAAAAAAAGUGGUUGUAGGCAUGUGUGUACCAAGCAUAUAAUUGUGGUUUACGUCCACCAAUUAAGGAGGUAUAGUUUCUGAUAGUUUGUGCCGAAUAUUAGACUGUUUGGGCCGUGGGCAGAUGCUUAAGGAGCGACUCGCACACAGAGGCGCCCUGUGCCGAAUAUUAGAUUGUUUGGGCCGUGGGCAGAUGCUUAAGGAGCGACUCGCACAUAGAGGCUCCCUGUAUGUGCAGCACGUUAACUACUGGUGCACAUACAGGGGGGUCCUCUAUGUGGGUGUCUCCUUAAACAGUCUUAAUUUUCAGCCUAAAUUUCACCUGCCCACGGCCCAAAUUUCUCCUUAAUAUUCGGCCUAAAUUUCACCUGCCACUGUUUUUUUAGAGCAUGAAUGUAAAGUAAAACCACAAACUACCUCCUUUAUUUGUGUACAUAGUUGAAAUGUAAUUGAAAUGUAAUUUUUGUCAUUUUUCUAGUAAUCGUUAUGGCACUAUGUAUUUUUUUACUCGUUUGAGAUGCACUUCGGUCGUCUGCAGCUCCUGGAUCACUAUUUUCAUUCGCCUCCAACUUCGAGGUGUCCGCCGUUUAUGUUGUUCCUUACGCUGCUGAACUGAAAUUUAGAUUAGUAAUACAUACACACUUCACAUGGCUUCCACCUCUCUACUUCACAGACCCCACACAUUCUCUCUCAUCCCAUCACUCCCUCUGCUUCCCUUCCACUCAUUUCCUGUCACAUUUCGUCUUCGUUCCAUCCCAGCAGUCAUCGUUUCUCUCCCACUCCUCCAUACAAUCUCUCUACCAUUCUACCCAUCUGCACUCGCCCCCACUACAUUCAUUCAUUCAUUCUCUCUCUCUCUCUCUCUCUCUCUCUCUCUCUCUCUCUCUCUCUCUCUCUCUCUCUCUCUCUCUCUCUCUCUCUCCUUUACUCUGGCAGUCUGGACAUCGUUAGUGUUGCAUGGCAUGGACAGUGCACCCGUGUUUUCAGUCUGCCCAUCAAAAAUGCUGUGCUAAGAACAAAGAAAUGAGAAGCUGCAAGAAGCCACCAGGCUUACACGUGGCAGCUCCUGUAUGAAAUAUACCUACCUAUUUCCACCUAUCAUCUCCAUCCAUAAACCCAUCUCGUCUUCUCAUAAAGCUCUAAUAUCCUAGCACUAACAGCAUGAUUACUGAGCCCGUUCCACUCAUCUACCACUCUAUUUGAGAAUCAAUUUCUUCCUAUCUCUUUCUUAAACCUUCUUCCUAUCUUUCUUAAACCUAAUUUUUUUAAACUUGGACCUGUUAUUUCUUGUUCCGUCCUGAGCUGGCUGGUAUUUCCAUUUCUACCACUACUGCUGCCACCACUUAUUUCGUGUUAUUCUUACUGCUACUGUCACUACUACUACUACUCAUGACAAGUGUUGUUCUUGUUACUACUACUUCUACUACUCCUACUAUUAUUACCCACAAGUGUUGUUCUUUGUAUCAUUACUACUACUAAUACUACUCAUUACAAAUGGUGGUCUUGCUAUUCCCAUUACUACUACUACAAUAGCAUACACUAACUAAUACUACUACUGUAUUAUUAUUAUUACAACAAAUAUUGUUGUGUGUAAUUUGUGACACGUACCCCGCUCACAAUCAUGUCGGAGAUGAGGAAACAUUCUGCACUAAAAGAGUUCUUCCAGUAAACACUUGGUCUUAU